RNAcentral lists this unclassified non-coding RNA (251 nucleotides) under Hevea brasiliensis (rubber tree). The record is from RNAcentral. Lineage: Eukaryota; Viridiplantae; Streptophyta; Magnoliopsida; Malpighiales; Euphorbiaceae.
GCGGAGGGAGUCGUUAGUGGUGUCCCAGCCGAGGCCGCGGAUGAAGAUCUUGCGCUGGGCGGGGUCGCUGUCAGCGAUGGCGCGAACAGCGUCGAGAACGAAGGAGUCGGCGCGGGACAUGGCGGACUUGACUAUGUCGAGGAGCUGGUCGUGGGUGAAGGAGUCGAGGAUCUUUGCGGCGUCGUCAGGGGUGAGGUGGAAGGCGCCGUUUUCGUCGGACUUGCGCUUCUUGGCGACGGGAUCCAUGGGGG